AUUGAACGCUGGCGGAAUGCUUUACACAUGCAAGUCGAACGGCAGCACGAGGGCAACCUUGGUGGCGAGUGGCGAACGGGUGAGUAAUACAUCGGAACGUGCCCAGUCGUGGGGGAUAACGUAGCGAAAGCUACGCUAAUACCGCAUACGAUCUAUGGAUGAAAGCGGGGGACCGCAAGGCCUCGCGCGAUUGGAGAUGGGCGUGCGUCCUAUUAGCUAGUUGGUGAGGUAACGGCUCACCAAGGCGACGAUAGGUAGGGGGCGUGAGAGCGUGGCCCCCCACACGGGUACUGAGACACGGACCCGACUCCUACGGGAGGCAGCAGUAAGGAAUAUUGGACAAUGGGCGCAAGCCUGAUCCAGCCAUCCCGCGUGCAGGAUGACAGCCCUACGGGUUGUAAACUGCUUUUGUUAGGGAAGAAACCCCUCGAUUUAUCGGGGGCUGACGGUACCUUUCGAAUAAGCACCGGCUAACUCCGUG
This 481-nucleotide ribosomal RNA is filed under the name uncultured bacterium. RNAcentral's name for it is "bacterial SSU rRNA". It matches the Rfam family "Bacterial small subunit ribosomal RNA", at positions 30 to 507 of the family's 1533-position model. The record is from RNAcentral.